UACAGAGGUCUCAAGCGUUGUUCGGAUUCAUUGGGCGUAAAGGGUGUGUAGGUGGCGCCGUAAGUCGGGUGUGAAAUUUUAGAGCUUAACUCUGAAACUGCAUUCGAUACUGCGGUGCUUGAGGACUGGAGAGGAGACUUGAAUUUACGGUGUAGCAGUGAAAUGCGUAGAUAUCGUAAGGAAGACCAGUGGCGAAGGCGGGUCUCUGGACAGUUCCUGACACUGAGACACGAAGGCCAGGGGAGCAAACGGG
RNAcentral lists this ribosomal RNA (253 nucleotides) under uncultured bacterium. Its description in RNAcentral is "partial 16S ribosomal RNA". It matches the Rfam family "Bacterial small subunit ribosomal RNA", at positions 524 to 776 of the family's 1533-position model. The record is from RNAcentral.